CACCAGUGCGUGCCUCCGACUCCCGCUGGGCUCUGCCCGCCGCCUGUGGGGCCUUUCCGGGCAACGCGCGGCCCCCAGCACGACCCGCCUGCCCGCAGGCCCCGCCGUUCUUCCAGCAGCGCGAACUCCUGCCUGCCCCCGGCUCUGGCUUUACUCACCGAUCCUUUCCAUGCUGUGGCCGCAUUCCCCAGACCCUAUCGGUUCCCAGUGCUGCAUACUUCAAGUGUAGGUGGGGUUUGGUGGCAGCCGCCCCUCCCUCCCCCAGCCAGCCGGUAGCGCUCACGGAGCUCCCCUCCGUGCCCCCAGGCUCCAGGCGUCCCCUGGCUGGCCAGCCACCACAAGUGAUUCCUGGCCGCCUUUCACCUGAACGCCACCAUCUUGACACUGCUAGUAAGAGCCCCAGAGCAAUGAACAUAUGGCAGUUGCUACCAGCACUGGUGUAUUUGCGGCGAUGCCUAUCGAUAUCCACCAGAGAGCAGGGCAGCUCCAAAACCCACAUCUUUUAUGCUGUGGAAAUUGAUGGAUACAGCAACACAGCCAGCUUCUUGGCCAAACAACAUGGAAUGCAGUUCAUUUCAAAGGUGAAAUGGGUGAAUAUCAGACAGCUCAUUAUAGAGACAAGCAUACUGCAUUCCCAAAGUAGGAUGACAGAACAAGUCAUGAUCUUGUACAGAAGGAAAAUGAGAUGCCUGGUGAAGCCUACAAUGUCAUUGACUCUGAAGAAGGACUCAGAGACCUAUUGGUGUUUAAUGACCCUUAUUGGCCUCCACAAAAGAAACUGGUGA
This is a long non-coding RNA of Strigops habroptila (Kakapo), 785 nucleotides long. The record is from Ensembl. Lineage: Eukaryota; Metazoa; Chordata; Aves; Psittaciformes; Psittacidae.